Molecule: non-coding RNA, 29 nt
Filed under: Mus musculus (house mouse)
Lineage: Eukaryota; Metazoa; Chordata; Mammalia; Rodentia; Muridae
Source: RNAcentral
UGCAAUACGACUGGUUGUCCGAUGCCAAA